AUCACUUCUUGGCCUUUUGGCUAAGAUCAAAUGUAUUAUCUGUUCUUAUCAGCUUAAUAUCUGAUACAUCCUCUAUCAGACAACAAUAUUUUAAGUGGAUUUUUGGAAAUAGGAGAGGGAAUAGAAGCUUACUCUAUGAACUCCACACAUGGACCUAGUAUUAUAGUGUCUCCAGGAAAGGAACACCCCCU
Molecule: small nuclear RNA, 191 nt
Organism: Ictidomys tridecemlineatus (thirteen-lined ground squirrel)
Lineage: Eukaryota; Metazoa; Chordata; Mammalia; Rodentia; Sciuridae
Gene: U2
Rfam family: U2 spliceosomal RNA
About the family: U2 is a small nuclear RNA (snRNA) component of the spliceosome (involved in pre-mRNA splicing).
Source: Ensembl